RNAcentral lists this antisense RNA (69 nucleotides) under Streptomyces roseochromogenus subsp. oscitans DS 12.976. Its description in RNAcentral is "ASpks TB sRNA". It matches the Rfam family "ASpks TB sRNA". The record is from Rfam by way of RNAcentral. Lineage: Bacteria; Bacillati; Actinomycetota; Actinomycetes; Kitasatosporales; Streptomycetaceae.
CUUCACCGACCCCAGCCACAGCGGGGCCUCGCGGUCCUGGCCGUAGGUGGCCAGCAGCGCCUGCGCCUC